CUAUACUCUCAUAGUCUCUAGAUGCGAUGUUUAAGUGUCUUAAAGAAGAUUCACAUGGAGAAAGUGGACCUCUCUAGAAAAGGAAAUGGCAUGCCUUCUACCAGGUUCCUGCUUUUAUCCUUUCAGAAAAUUCAAGAAACCAAAGUUUUUGAGUUCCAGCAGUGGCUGCUCUCAUUCCUGCCAGAAUCCCAUUCCGUUCUCUGUGCUCUCUCUGGCCUUAUGAAUCUUGGCAGAGGGCUACUCUCCUAUGGUGAUGACUCCCAUAUUAAUUUCAGUCUUUUCAAGACUUACUUGCUAAUUAAAAUGUGAAACAGUUUUUAUCCCUUUAAUUAAGACACAAGAUGGGAAGCAUAAUUUAAUUUGGUCCAUUGAAACUAUCAGUAUUAUUAGCUCCAUAACUUGCUUCCAUGAAAGAUGCCUAUGUUAAACAAUAUAUUUUUUUUUUCCUCCCACGCUCACUGGAGUUUUGGUAUGUGCCCUCAGUCCUGAAACCACCGUGGGAGUUUGUGAACUGUGGUCCCAUUGAAAAGGCACCGAAUGGAAGCUGGAGCCAUCAAGGACAUUGGCUGUAGGACCCUGUGUUCAGAAAUCCUGCCAUGCUGAACGCCUCAAUGACAGAAGAAACCUCCUUCAGCAGUUGGCAGCAGGCCACUUCUAGCCCCUCCACCCAGGAGGCCUGUGACACAGUGGCCCCAUUGUUCAGGCUGCCUGAGCUCCUCUGCAUUGCCAUUGCAAUGCUGACACUGGCCACCUGAGCUCUGUUUGCCAUCUUUUUAUCUUUCGGCUCUGACUAUGCUGUGGCCACUCAGAGUAGGGAUGGGCCAGGGCAGCAAGAGGCAGGGGAGGUGGGUGACAGCAGUGGCAAUGGCAGCAGGGUGGCCUGACAAACACACACUUGAAGAAAUGGACCAGCAGAAACGAAGGCUUUUGUGCGCCAGGCCUUGCAACCUCCCCACUCGUGGUUGCUGACCUCACAGGACAUCAUCAGAGCCUGACGUAUUUCCCAAUGGCUGUCAUCUGCCCAUGGAUUACUCCCAAGCCUGUGUCUCCAUUUUGCCCUUUGUCCUCAACUCCAGAUCAAUUUAUCCUGCUACUUCCUCCUGAAGGUCCUCCAAGACUCAGCAAACUCACACACUCAAAUCUGCAUUCUCUGUAUUGCCCCUAAGUCUGAUCCUCCGCACUGGUUUCCCAUCACUGUGCAAGUGUCAUGCAAGUUGGAAACAAAAGUCCAUCCUUGACUCUGCCUGGGCCAUAUCUCACAUCCCAUCAAUCAUCCAGCCCAGCCAAUUCCAUCUCCUAAAAGUAUUUCCAAUCCGUCCUCCUCUCUCCACUCCUGCUGCAAUCAUUCCAGUACACUUCCUCCCAGCAUCUCACAUCCAGAUUGUUUCCACACUCCCUACUGGUCUUUUUGUGCUGAUCUUCCCCCAGCCUCUAAUCCAUCUGCCUGGAACACCCUUUUCCUCUUGUUCCUCUGGUAAACUCUCCUCCUCCUAAGCCUUCCUCCUUUGUGAAGCCUUUAAUGAUUUCCCACAUAAUAUGAGGCACACACCCUCAUCUCACCCCGUGCGCCCCAGCUGCUGGCAUCCAUACCCUCAUCAGAGCCCUGGCCACAUGACAUGACACUGGCUGUUGGCACACCCUUCUCCCACAGGGCUCCCCGAGAGCAGGGGCUCCCAGUGCCCUAAUCAAUUCUUGGCAAACAGUUAAUGUUUCAUAAGUGUUUAGUUGAACUAAUGAAUUCUACAAUAAAGAGGCCAGGGGUCUUUAUCAAAAUCCCUUUCCUCCCAGAUCUGAAAGGCUGGAAAUUAGGGUUUGUGUUGGGUCUCUUAAUUACAGAUCCAAAACACCUAAGUCCUUUAGCUACCGAAUCUGUCUGGCCCAAGCAUGUCCCUCUCUCAAUAGCCAGGAAACACUUUGUAAAUAAAUUCCUUGUCUCAAGUCCCAUUUUAUUGUUUUAAUUCUUUAGAAUUGGAGUGAGAUCUCCACUCUCAGUGUCUCAAUACCUAGUAUUCCAGGUGGAUGAGUGAAGCACAGUUACAGUGUUGUGUUCGACUCUUCAGGUCCUACUGUCAGGGAAGAUGGGUUGCUUCUCUCAGCUCAAAGCUCCAUUCGUGUGAGGAGAAAGGCCUUCCACUCAACCCAGAGCUCCCACUUGCAAACAGUCAGUGUUUGAGAAAGAUAUUAACAAACAAAUUAAUCAACCAAUGUUACCUGCACCCACAGGUGUAACUUGCUUCUAUGGAAAUCACAGAAUUCUCUCUCAGUGAUGCUUAGACACAAGGAGUUCUCCAGAGCACUUAUCGGUGCUAGAGGAGAAUAUUUGUGACUUGGGUAGCAAAAUGCACAAUUUGUCUCUGUGGUUUAGACUUUUACUCACCCUCUCUGUUGCAAUGGUUUUCUUCCAGCCUGAUUCCUUCCUUGCUUUCUGUCCCCUGAGUCUUGGCAGGGAGAGAAUGACUUCCUUUUCUCUUUUUCCUCUGUGAUUCCUAUGACUUCUCCAAAGCCCAGAGCUCUCCAGGGGGAAGAAACAAGCUUGCUUUUCUAUUUUAUAUUUCAACUUCCUUUUGUUUUAUCACAACAUCAGCUGCAACCUCCCCACUGCAGUCAAAACUGUUGUUCUUAACUGUACUCCAGCAUUUAAAUCUAUGUGGGAUACAUUCUCUCUACCAUAUCUACAUAGUCACUCACUAAUCCUUUCUCCCUCCCUUCUUCCCUCCCUCCCACAUUCCUUCCCUUCCUUCCUUCCUUUAUUCCUUCUUUUCCUCCUUUCUUCCAUCCAUUCAUCUACUCAUCCAUCCACCCAUCCAUCCACUAAUCCAUUCCUUUAUUGAGCAGUCACUGAGCUGGGCACAGGGAAUGAUGAAAUGAAUAAACACAGGCCCAGCACCAAAGGAGCUCAUAAUCUGGAGAGGGAAAUGGAAAUUUUUACAAUUGUUCAUAAAGAGUAUGAAGAGAGUGGUGUGACAAUCCAAGGGAGAGGAUGAUUAAUUUUAGGGAGUAUAAGAAGAAUAAAUCAAAGAGAUGACAUUUGAACUGAGUAUUGAAUAUGAAGAAGAAGGGGAAAAUGCCACUCAGAAAAAAUAGCCACUGCAAUGACUUAGAGACUUAAAAUAACAGGGUAUGAAAUAGAAAAAAAAAAUGUCAAGAAGCUCAGUAUGAUUGGAGGAAAGGAGGCACAUAUGAGAGGAAUUUCCAGUAAGGCUAAAGGAACACUGGCCAGAUUUGGAGAAUCCCAAAUGUCAGAGUAAGGUCUCUGGACUUUUUUCUAGAAACCAUAGGAAGCCAUUGGUGGCAGGUCAGCAGUUGGAAAAAUGGCUCUGGCUGCAGAGAAUCAACAGGAAAGGGGCUAGAUAGGAGGUGGAAGGCCAGUUAAGAGGUUGGCACAAUGGACCGAAUGAGAGAUGAGGCCUGGAGUAAAGGCAUGGAGAGGGUGGGAUGACAAGGGGACUGUGGAGGGGAGGCUGCCUCUUUGCAUGUCGAAAGUAAGAUGCCUGUCUCAAAGGAGCCAGAUAAAUAAAUGCUUCUUGUGCUGUAGCCAGAGAGUUUGGUAAGGCCUGCUCAUGGCCCAGCUGUCUGCAAAAUGCUCCAAGUCUUGCCUGGCUCUCAGGAGAAGCAAGCCCUCUGCCAGCCUUAAAUUAAUGACUCUUCUAGGGAAAUGCACUGCUGCCUGCACCAGUGGCCCUGCCUAUGUCCACGUUAGAACCCAUUAGUAAGGCUGUCCCACUGGGCUAGAGCAAACGACAAGGUAACAGUCAAAAGAUGGCUCUUGGUCCCUCCAUAUGAGGUGACCUGCUUUCUAUAUCUACAAGCCCUGUUGGAAAACAGAGCCCAGGGUGGGAUAAGUCACACAUUCUCUUUUUCUCGGUCUCACACCCUUAGAAUUCAACAUUAUUUUUUCAUCAACAAGCAAUUCACUUAUUAAUUCUGUUUCCUUCUAUUGAUAUUGAAAGGUUCUUGUUGUUCAAAUAUAAAGGACCAUCCAGAGUGACAAACAGCUACAGAGAAAACUUGGGUUUUCAUUCUGAGGAGAAAAAGGAAUCAAGAGCUCUUCAAAAUAGUAUGAAACAAGGGGAUAAAAUUUCUCCCACACCCACUGAGUUUAGGACAGUGAUCUUUUUCAUGCAUUAUCUCAUUCUAUCUUCUCAAUAGCUCGUGAAGUGAGUUAUGAUUCCCAUUUAACAGAUGGAGAAACUGAGGCACAAAGAGGUUAGGCCACUUGCCCAAUGUCACUCUGCUGCUGGUUUGAAGAGCCAGAGUUUAAAUCCAAAUCUGCCUCAUUUUGAAUGUCCUGUUGGUUUCGCUGCAUUAUGUCACCUCAGAGUGGCAGUGUGGAGGGUAAUGAGAGCAUGGGUGGGAGGUCAGAGACUGAGAAUUACCCAAAUUUAGACUUGCAAGACUUAAAUCCUGGACCCCCUUAAUAGUCUGUGACCUCAGACAAAUCAUGUGGCUUAAGUAAGCAUCAGUUUCACCUGUAAAGUGAGGGGUAGAUUGGAUGAUCCAGGUCCACAGUUCUAUGUUUCUAAUUCAAGUAAGAGAGUGAACUCACUGUUGAAUGAAUAAAGAUUUACAGAUAGCAUUUUUACUUUAAUGUUGGAAUGUUGGCAUGUGUUAUAAAAAUAAAAUGGCCUG
Molecule: long non-coding RNA, 4629 nt
Filed under: Homo sapiens (human)
Lineage: Eukaryota; Metazoa; Chordata; Mammalia; Primates; Hominidae
Description: HSALNT0172101
Source: RNAcentral